CCUACGGGAGGCAGCAGUGAGGAAUAUUGGUCAAUGGCCGAGAGGCUGAACCAGCCAAGUCGCGUGAGGGAAGACGGCCCUACGGGUUGUAAACCUCUUUUGUCGGGGAGCAAAGCGCGUCACGUGUGCCUUAUUGAGAGUACCCGAAGAAAAAGCAUCGGCUAACUCCGUGCCAGCAGCCGCGGUAAUACGGAGGAUGCGAGCGUUAUCCGGAUUUAUUGGGUUUAAAGGGUGCGUAGGCGGAGGUGCAAGUCAGCGGUCAAAUUGCGGGGCUCAACCCCGUACAGCCGUUGAAACUGCGUGCCUUGAGUGGGCGAGAAGUAUGCGGAAUGCGUGGUGUAGCGGUGAAAUGCAUAGAUAUCACGCAGAACUCCGAUUGCGAAGGCAGCAUACCGGCGCGCAACUGACGCUCAUGCACGAAGGCGUGGGUAUCGAACAGGAUUAGAUACCCGAGUAGUC
RNAcentral lists this ribosomal RNA (459 nucleotides) under uncultured bacterium. RNAcentral describes it as "partial 16S ribosomal RNA". It matches the Rfam family "Bacterial small subunit ribosomal RNA", at positions 338 to 795 of the family's 1533-position model. The record is from RNAcentral.